CCGGGACCAUCCGGUAAGGCUAAAUACUCCCGAGAGACCGAUAGCGAACCAGUACCGUGAGGGAAAGGUGAAAAGCACUUCGAACAGAAGAGUGAAAUAGUUCCUGAAACCGUGCGCCUACAAGCGGUCGGAGCUCGUUAAUGAGUGACGGCGUGCCUUUUGCAUAAUGAACCUACGAGUUGCCUUUGCCGGCAAGGUUAAGUGUGACGACACACGUAUCCGAAGCGAAAGCGAGUCUGAACAGGGCGUAUAGUCGGCAGUGGCAGACGCGAAACCAAGUGAUCUACCCUUGGCCAGGUUGAAGGCUGGGUAACACCAGCUGGAGGACCGCACCAAUAAGCGUUGAAAAGCUUCUGGAUGAGCUGAGGGUAGGGGUGAAAGGCUAAUCAAACUUGGAGAUAGCUCGUACUCCCCGAAAUGCAUUUAGGUGCAGCCUUGCGGGUUACUGAUGUGAGGUAGAGCGACUGAUAAGAUGCGAGGGCUUCACCGCCUAUCAAGUCUUGACAAACUCCGAAUGCGCAUCAGUUCUACCGCAGGAGUGAGGGCAUGGGUGCUAAGGUCCGUGCCCGAGAGGAGAAGAAUCCGGACCACCUGCUAAGGUCCCGAAAUGACAGCUAAGUUAAACUAACGAAGUCUGACUGCUAAGACAGCUAGGAUGUUGGCUUGGAAGCAGCCAUUCAUUUAAAGAGUGCGUAACAGCUCACUAGUCGAGGAGUCGGGCGUGGAUAAUAAUCGGGUAUCAAGUUGUCUACCGAAGCAGUGGGAUCAUUAAUAUGAUCGGUAGGGGAGCAUUCCAGUCAGCGUCGAAGGCGUACCGUGAGGUAUUCUGGAGCGUCUGGAAAAGCAAAUGUAGGUAUAAGUAACGAUAAAGGGGGCGGGAAACCCCCUCGCCGAAAGACUAAGGUUUCCUGAUCAACGCUAAUCGGAUCAGGGUCAGUCGGGUCCUAAGGCUCAGCCGAACGGCGAUGCCGAUGGCAGAAACGGUUAAUAUUCCGUUACUACCUUCAGGAGUGACGUGGAGACGCAGUAGUGACAGUGCCGCCAUCUGACGGAAUAGAUGGUUGAAGGGUGUAGGAGUCGAUCAUGGCAGGCAAAUCCACCAUGAGAUCCGAACCUGACAGUAUGCCGCGUCCUUCGGGACAAGGCAAUAGUGCGCGUAAGCAUGCUGCCGAGAAAAUCCGCUAAACUUAAUCCUGCAGGUACCCGUACCGCAAACGGACACACGUAGUCGGGAUGAAUAUUCUAAGGCGCUUGAGUGAUUCACGGUUAAGGAACUAGGCAAACUGACCCUGUAACUUCGGGAUAAAGGGUCCCUACCCUUUUAUGGGAGGGCGCAGAGAAUCGGUCCAGGCAACUGUUUAACAAAAACACAGGGCUGUGCCAAAUCGAAAGAUCCAGUAUACAGCCUGACACCUGCCCGGUGCUGGAAGGUUAAGAGGAGAUGUCAUCGAUAAGAGAAGCGUUGAAUUGAAGCCCCAGUAAACGGCGGCCGUAACUAUAACGGUCCUAAGGUAGCGAAAUUCCUUGUCGGGUAAGUUCCGACCUGCACGAAUGGUGUAAUGAUCUGGACGCUGUCUCAACCGUGAGCUCAGUGAAAUUGUAGUAUCGGUGAAGAUGCCGAUUACCCGCGAUGGGACGAAAAGACCCCGUGAACCUUUACUAUAGCUUAUCAUUGAAUCUGGGCACGUGAUGUGUAGGAUAGGUCGGAGGCUUUGAAGCAGGUACGCCAGUAUUUGUGGAGCCGCUGUUGAAAUACGACCCUUUAUUUGUUUGGAUUCUAACCCGUGGAACGGGGACAUUGAUUGGUGGGUAGUUUGACUGGGGUGGUCGCCUCCAAAAGCGUAACGGAGGCUUCUAAAGGUGCCCUCCGGCCGAUUGGUAACCGGCCUUAGAGUGUAAUGGCAUAAGGGCGCUUGACUGGGAGACU
RNAcentral lists this ribosomal RNA (1927 nucleotides) under human gut metagenome. Its description in RNAcentral is "bacterial LSU rRNA". It matches the Rfam family "Bacterial large subunit ribosomal RNA", at positions 447 to 2382 of the family's 2925-position model. The record is from RNAcentral.